Molecule: ribosomal RNA, 275 nt
Filed under: uncultured Verrucomicrobium sp.
Lineage: Bacteria; Pseudomonadati; Verrucomicrobiota; Verrucomicrobiia; Verrucomicrobiales; Verrucomicrobiaceae
Description: partial 16S ribosomal RNA
Rfam family: Bacterial small subunit ribosomal RNA
Source: RNAcentral
CCUACGGGUGGCUGCAGUCGAGAAUCAUUCACAAUGGGCGAAAGCCUGAUGGUGUGACGCCGCGUGGAGGAUGAAGGUCUUCGGAUUGUAAACUCCUGUCAAGUGAGAGUAAAGCCGGGCGUUAACUGUGUGCCGGUUUGAGAGUAUCACUAGAGGAAGAGACGGCUAACUCUGUGCCAGCAGCCGCGGUAAUACAGAGGUCUCAAGCGUUGUUCGGAAUCACUGGGCGUAAAGGGUGCGUAGGCCGCAUGGUAAGUCAGAGGUGAAAUGCCGGA